CACCAGCCAGCAAGCCAGAGCAUGGCGGCCAUCCCCUCCAGCGGCUCGCUCCUGGUCACCUACGACUACUACCGGCGCCGCCUGGAUUCCACUUUCAGCAACAGCUCCUGCGGCAGUAUCGAGUGCCCCGGGGAAGCCAUUCCCCACCCCCUAGGUCUCCCCAAGGCUGACCCGGGUCACUGGUGGGCCAGCUUGUUUUUCAGGAAGUCCAGCCUCCCGUUCAUGGCCACGGUGUUGGAGUCCGCAGAGCACCCGGAACCCCCGCCCCCCGGCCCCCCAGGCCUCCAGCAGCAUGACCACCGGUGUUCUGGCUCGGGACGCCCCGAGUCCAGAAGUUAAGUCCCGCUGGUCUCCUACCUCAUUAGGAGUUGAGUCUGAUGUUGAUAAAUUUGAAAUUCCUCACUGUGUAGGUGACACGUUGAAAAUGUAUGAGAUCAGUAAAAUAGAUGAUGAAAACGGACAACAUAAAGCUAAUCAAACUAAGGGAGGAGAUAGUCAUAUACCUAGUGAUGUACAAGAUGUUGAUGUGAGUAACUACCCUGUGGAUCCAGAGGAGAAUAAAAUGUGA
Mandrillus leucophaeus (drill) is the source of this 568-nucleotide RNA transcript. It is a transcript of the gene named pancreatic progenitor cell differentiation and proliferation factor pseudogene, with no coding region annotated. Lineage: Eukaryota; Metazoa; Chordata; Mammalia; Primates; Cercopithecidae. The transcript is spliced from 3 exons. The record is from RefSeq and is a predicted model, not a curated record.